RNAcentral lists this RNase P RNA (358 nucleotides) under Desulfobacteraceae bacterium. RNAcentral's name for it is "RNase P RNA component class A". It matches the Rfam family "Bacterial RNase P class A". Rfam says of the family: Ribonuclease P (RNase P) is a ubiquitous endoribonuclease, found in archaea, bacteria and eukarya as well as chloroplasts and mitochondria. Its best characterised activity is the generation of mature 5'-ends of tRNAs by cleaving the 5'-leader elements of precursor-tRNAs. Lineage: Bacteria; Pseudomonadati; Thermodesulfobacteriota; Desulfobacteria; Desulfobacterales; Desulfobacteraceae. The record is from RNAcentral.
UGGAGCGGGUGCAUGAUCGCCGGUUUCCCCGGAAACCGGAGGAAAGUCCGAACUCCAUAGGGCAGGGUGGUUCGUAACGCGAACUGGGGGCGACCCCAAGGAAAGUGCCACAGAAAACAAACCGCCCCGCUACGGCGGGGUAAGGGUGAAAAGGUGAGGUAAGAGCUCACCGCUUUCGUGGCGACACGGAAGGCAUGGUAAACCCCACCCGGAGCAAGACCAAAUAGGGAAACGUUCGAGGGCUGCCCGUCCGAUGUUUCCGGGUAGGUCGCACGAGGUGCCGGGCGACCGGCAUCCCAGAGAAAUGAUCAUGGCCCCGUACGGGGAACAGAAUUCGGCUUACAACCCGCUCCAAAAU